UACGUAGGGGGCGAGCGUUGUCCGGAUUUAUUGGGCGUAAAGAGCGUGUAGGCGGACCACCAAGUCGGACGUGAAAUCCCUGGGCUCAACCCAGGAACUGCAUCCGAAACUGGCGGUCUGGAGUAGUGGAGAGGAAAGCAGAAUUCCUGGUGUAGAGGUGAAAUUCGUAGAUAUCGAGAGGAACACCUGCGGCGAAGGCGGGUUGCUGGGCCGACACUGACGCUGAUGCGCGAAAGCCAGGGGAGCGAACGGG
This 253-nucleotide ribosomal RNA is filed under the name uncultured bacterium. RNAcentral's name for it is "partial 16S ribosomal RNA". It matches the Rfam family "Bacterial small subunit ribosomal RNA", at positions 524 to 776 of the family's 1533-position model. The record is from RNAcentral.